Molecule: ribosomal RNA, 161 nt
Filed under: Isopora cuneata
Lineage: Eukaryota; Metazoa; Cnidaria; Anthozoa; Scleractinia; Acroporidae
Description: 5.8S ribosomal RNA
Rfam family: 5.8S ribosomal RNA (bases 7-150)
About the family: 5.8S ribosomal RNA (5.8S rRNA) is a component of the large subunit of the eukaryotic ribosome. It is transcribed by RNA polymerase I as part of the 45S precursor that also contains 18S and 28S rRNA.
Source: RNAcentral
CUCCGCACGGUGGAUCUCUGGGCUCGCGCAUCGAUGAAGAACGCAGCCAACUGCGAGAAACGUAGUGUGAAUUGCAGAUCGAAUCGUCGACUCUUUGAACGCAAAUGGCGCUCGUCGCUUCGAGCGGCGAGCAUGGCCGGUCGAGAGUCCCUUUCCCCCGU